CAUGCAUGCACGCACGCACGCACGCACGCAUAAUACACAUACAUUACAUCGUCGUACAUACUCGCACGUAGAAAAAAGGAUAAAAACUUUAUACCCCGAGAACAAAUUGUAGGAGGAAAAACAUCAUGGCAAUUUAUGUACACGUUUACGUGUUUUCUGUGUCUGCGCAAUAGACAAGUAGGUGUUAAUUGAAUGCGAAAUCGGAUGAACGAGUAAAUCGUUAAAUAUAUAUAUAUUACAGAUAUAAAUAUAAAUAUAUAAAUAAAUAUAUAUAAAAAUAUAUAUAUAUAUAUAUAUAUACAUAUAUAUGAUCGUAGAAGUGCGUGCGGGACCUCGACGCGAGGAUGCACGUACUUCUGCGACGCGAUGUCGAUAUCUUACAAUUUUUUCUAAUCGCUGGAGGAAAAAUGGGGAGAACUAGAAGGAAAAGUACGAUUCCCCACGAAACACCCGUUGUCGUUUAUAGUUGUUCCUUUCCUGAGGCAUCUUGUGCAUGCAAAAAAAAAAAGACGUGAGGUGAAAAAUUCCUUCGACACUAACGGAGAACGAACGAUAAAUAAUAGAAGAAAAAAAAUCUUGGUUAUGUGCUUUUUCUAUUGCCACUGGUUGGCGCUGGUGUUUCUGGUCGUUGAAAUUUCACGAUCGACCCGCAAGAUGUCUCGCGAGCGGAGCAGGUGGGAAUUCGCGCGCGUGUGCACGCAUGGGAUGGAAACGAAAAAGGUACAUAUAAGAAACGACGCAAGAAUGGGGAAAGAAAUAAAAGAACUGAAAAACGAUAACUGCCUCAAGCAACUUAAAAAGGAAAAGAACUAAACAAAAAAAAAAAGAAAAAGAUAAUGCGACUUGUGUAUCGCAUCCCGGACGGGAACCCCUGCCAAACGAAAACGUACACGUGUAAUGUAAAGUAGUGAGAGUAAAGAACCUUUAGUGUCACAUAUCACGCCAAGCUGUUACGAGCGAAAACGGACAAUGUCGCGUUCGUGGACGAUCAGUGACGAGAAAGAGAGAGAGAGAAAAGAAAGAGUGAAAGAGUGCGCUGCUAUCGCGAUGGCAGAACGAUUGAUGCGACGAAAAGAACGAACGCGACGUUAGAGAAACGAGAGGGAGGAGUUUAUAACGAGUAUUUGUAAGCCACUUUUUGUCACGAUGAUUGUCAAUAAAAUGGAAAAUACUGUGUGUAACGAGUGUGUCCCGGAAUUUCAUCCAUCGAGUUGGUUAUUCCGUUAGGUAUGAUGAUUUUUCUCUUUUUUUUUUCAUCUUGCAUCUUUUUCUUUCUCUUUUACGCAAAGAGUCGUUUGUAACAGGCGAGUUGUGUGUAUUUAAAAGUUCGGAAUAGCCGUGUCUCCCUCUUUUUUCUUUUGUACGUUUUCCUCGUUUGGCUUUUACGUUCGUUUUCCUGAAAAUACUGUGGAUCCUCUGUUUAGUCCAUUUCUAUGUUCGACCGCCAUCUUUUAUAUACAUACAAGUUUUUUACGUUGCCAUAGUAGAUAACGAGUAACCGACAACCGAUGAUCAUAUCGUUAUACAUACACAUAUAUUGAAAUCAAAAUUGUAUACGAUUUUUAAUAUACUUUAUUAUUAUUUAA
Frieseomelitta varia is the source of this 1586-nucleotide long non-coding RNA. RefSeq lists it as uncharacterized. The transcript is spliced from 2 exons. Lineage: Eukaryota; Metazoa; Arthropoda; Insecta; Hymenoptera; Apidae. The record is from RefSeq and is a predicted model, not a curated record.